RNAcentral lists this transfer RNA (77 nucleotides) under Bacillota bacterium. RNAcentral's name for it is "Firmicutes bacterium (gut metagenome) tRNA-Pro". It matches the Rfam family "tRNA". From Rfam's summary of the family: Transfer RNA (tRNA) molecules are approximately 80 nucleotides in length. Their secondary structure includes four short double-helical elements and three loops (D, anti-codon, and T loops). Further hydrogen bonds mediate the characteristic L-shaped molecular structure. tRNAs have two regions of fundamental functional importance: the anti-codon, which is responsible for specific mRNA codon recognition, and the 3' end, to which the tRNAs corresponding amino acid is attached (by aminoacyl-tRNA synthetases). tRNAs cope with the degeneracy of the genetic code in two manners: having more than one tRNA (with a specific anti-codon) for a particular amino acid; and 'wobble' base-pairing, i.e. permitting non-standard base-pairing at the 3rd anti-codon position. The record is from RNAcentral. Lineage: Bacteria; Bacillati; Bacillota.
CGGGGUUUGGCGCAGCUUGGUAGCGCACUUGGUUUGGGACCAAGGGGCCGCAGGUUCGAAUCCUGUAACCCCGACCA